Molecule: non-coding RNA, 125 nt
Organism: Hordeum vulgare subsp. vulgare (domesticated barley)
Lineage: Eukaryota; Viridiplantae; Streptophyta; Magnoliopsida; Poales; Poaceae
Source: Rfam
CAUCUAUUCUCUCCGUCCGAAAAUACUUGUCGUGAGAAUAAAUGUAUCUAGAUGUAUAAUAAUUUUAAAUACAUUCAUUUGUAUUCAUUUUUAUAACAACUAAUUUUGGACGGAGGGAGUAUUAU